Molecule: microRNA precursor, 83 nt
Filed under: Ixodes scapularis (black-legged tick)
Lineage: Eukaryota; Metazoa; Arthropoda; Arachnida; Ixodida; Ixodidae
Description: microRNA mir-263
Source: RNAcentral
AUGCUUCAACAUGCAAGGGGCGCGUAUCCACAGAUAUUUUUCAAAAAUAUCUGUGGAUACGCGCCCCAUGCAUGUUGAAGCAU